AAAAAAUACAACCAUAAGUUUUCGUAUCCAAUUUUAAUCAUCCAUCUUAUUUAAAAUCUUUUUAUAAUUGAUAUUUUUAUUAGAUUAUAAAACAUGAAUAGUAUUUUAUGCGUGACUCAUAUUUUUGGUUUUUUUAAAAAAAAUUUAAAUAAGAUGGACGAUUAAAAUUGGACAUAAAAACUUAUGGCUGCGCUUAUU
MicroRNA precursor from Oryza sativa Indica Group (long-grained rice), 198 nucleotides. It matches the Rfam family "MIR812 microRNA precursor family". The record is from Rfam. Lineage: Eukaryota; Viridiplantae; Streptophyta; Magnoliopsida; Poales; Poaceae.